This 1772-nucleotide long non-coding RNA is filed under the name Heterocephalus glaber (naked mole-rat). Its description in RNAcentral is "lncRNA (ENSHGLG00100042403.1)". The record is from RNAcentral. Lineage: Eukaryota; Metazoa; Chordata; Mammalia; Rodentia; Bathyergidae.
CAUCUAAUCAUAGUCCCUCUUUAUCCACAUGUUAAUUUUGCUACUUUAGGAGGGUCUGAUAACAUUAAAAAGUUCAAUAAAAAUGACAAGGUUCAUAUCAUGUGCUAUUCUCAAUAGCAUGAUUAAAUCUCAUGCCACUAUGAUCCAUCAUUUAUCUCAAUUUAUUGCAUCAUAUAGCUGUUGUGUGCUGUCACAUCAUGACAAGGUGAGUACAAUAACAACAGCACCAUUCAGAGAAAGGGAGCACCUUCACAGGGCACUGAUCAACCAUGUUAACAAACAUUUCAGUAUUAAGUAAUAGUAUGAACCUUUACCUGCACAUAAUAUAUCAAUUCAAUUUUUCAUAGGUAUAUAUGAAUAUAAAAUACUAUAUGUGUGUAUAUGUAUGUGUUUUAUUACUAUCUACUGUUGAAAGCAUACAUUGGGCACAUGAAAUCAUAUCCUCAUCAGAUAAGGGGACAUUAGUCUAUUUUAAAAAUUUUAGCACAGAGGUACACAAUUCCUAUCGGUCUGGUUUGUCACAUCAGGAAAAAAAGAGUAAAGAGUUUUCUGGAAGAAACAUAUGACUGGCCAACUUGUCAAAUGAAAAACAGCAUGCCCAUUGCCCAAGAACAACACUCUUCCACUCCCAUGUCUAACUCACACACAUCUUGAAAACUCUAUCUUUGCCCCAGGGUAAUACCUUGGUUUCACAUGGAGUGUGGUUGAACUUCAGAAGGAAUAAACCUGGAGCAGGUGUAAAUUUGUGAAAGGAAAGUGCAUUUCUGGGAAAUUUAGGAUUGACUCUAGGAAAGACUGAGUAGGUGGGUGGUAAAUAAGGUGAGGUAAAGAGACAGAUUCAAAUGGCAAAGAGAACACAAACAUCACCAGACAGCACCAGGAGACAAGCGUCACCUGGGACCGUAAGAGAAUUACUGAGGCUCAAGGAACAGGGGAGAGUUUAUGUUUGAUAAGUGGUUUCCCAGACCAAUUUAAUUACAUUUAAGUAUUUAUUUGUAGACUUGUUCAUAUUCUCAAAGAUACUUUUUGUCCAUUUUUAAAUCCACAUAAAGUGUCUUAACAUUUCCCUUCUCUACCUUAUCAGGUAACAUAAUAUGAAUCAUGAAUUGUUACAAAGACAUGUUCUAAGAUUUGGAUUCAACAUUCUUGUCUUAAUCUAUAAAUGUUGUCGUGAUGUAGAUGAAUCACAUCUUCAAGAUGAAGGCAAACUGGAGGCUACAGCGAAAGAGGAAUCAAUCUCCUUUGGAGCUUUCUCAGCAGCAGUCUUCCCAUAGGUGGCCUCCAGCUGGAGAGAACACCAACAGAGUGAGUGUGAACAGUGCAAAGCUGGAGAGUGCUGAAGGCUAGAGACUCAUAUGCAGAAGCCAUGCAGAAGGCAGAAGCCACAGCCAUUGAGUGCCUAACUCCUUUCUGAGGAUCUGGUUCACCAUGGCACACCAUUUCUGCAGUCAAUCUUGCCCUCUACAUUGGGAACAUGUUUAACUGUCUGAAUGUGGAUGUUUCUUUUGAUCUUGGAUGAAGCAGGUGUCAUAACUGAUGUCACAGCAAUGGAAGAGCUAACACACCCAGCCACCCAGCAAGUAACAGAAUAGAAAAACAAAGAAAAAAAAUGCACUAAACAGCAACAUAGGAACAAAAUACAAAAUUAUGUUUCUAUUAGAAUAACACCCACUAUGAAUUUGCUUUUUUCAGAAGAGAAUAUUUUAGCCCCUGUUCGCCCCAGGGCCGCCCCACAAGUGCCUCCGGGCAGCGCGCGCCCGCGGACCUCAACC